Molecule: ribosomal RNA, 253 nt
Filed under: uncultured bacterium
Lineage: Bacteria
Description: partial 16S ribosomal RNA
Rfam family: Bacterial small subunit ribosomal RNA
Source: RNAcentral
UACAGAGGGUGCGAGCGUUGUCCGGAAUCACUGGGCUUAAAGGGCGCGUAGGCGGCUCGUUUAGUCGGGUGUGAAAUCCCGGGGCUCAACCCCGGAACUGCAUUCGAUACUGGCGGGCUAGAGACCGGAAGAGGUGGGUGGAAUACCCAGUGUAGAGGUGAAAUUCGUAGAUAUUGGGCGGAACACCGGUGGCGAAGGCGGCUCACUGGUCCGGUUCUGACGCUGAGGCGCGAAAGCGUGGGGAGCAAACAGG